GUCCGCGUGGCCUAAUGGAUAAGGCGCCUGAUUCCGGAUCAGAUUGCAGGUUCGAGUCCUGUCGCGGACG
This 70-nucleotide transfer RNA is filed under the name Dermacentor andersoni. RNAcentral's name for it is "transfer RNA arginine (anticodon CCG)". It matches the Rfam family "tRNA". Rfam says of the family: Transfer RNA (tRNA) molecules are approximately 80 nucleotides in length. The record is from RNAcentral. Lineage: Eukaryota; Metazoa; Arthropoda; Arachnida; Ixodida; Ixodidae.